GCAGCUGUAGCUCAGUUGGUUAGAGCGCCUGACUGUGGAUCAGGAGGUCGGUGGUUCAAGUCCACCCAGCUGUACCA
RNAcentral lists this transfer RNA (77 nucleotides) under Pseudorhodoplanes sp. RNAcentral describes it as "tRNA-His". It matches the Rfam family "tRNA". Rfam says of the family: Transfer RNA (tRNA) molecules are approximately 80 nucleotides in length. Their secondary structure includes four short double-helical elements and three loops (D, anti-codon, and T loops). RNAcentral also lists the same sequence under 3 other names. Lineage: Bacteria; Pseudomonadati; Pseudomonadota; Alphaproteobacteria; Hyphomicrobiales. The record is from RNAcentral.